This 650-nucleotide ribosomal RNA is filed under the name bacterium St2(2010). RNAcentral describes it as "bacterial SSU rRNA". It matches the Rfam family "Bacterial small subunit ribosomal RNA", at positions 68 to 702 of the family's 1533-position model. The record is from RNAcentral.
GACAGAAGGGAGCUUGCUCCCGGAUGUUAGCGGCGGACGGGUGAGUAACACGUGGGUAACCUGCCUGUAAGACUGGGAUAACUCCGGGAAACCGGAGCUAAUACCGGAUAGUUCCUUGAACCGCAUGGUUCAAGGAUGAAAGACGGUUUCGGCUGUCACUUACAGAUGGACCCGCGGCGCAUUAGCUAGUUGGUGAGGUAACGGCUCACCAAGGCGACGAUGCGUAGCCGACCUGAGAGGGUGAUCGGCCACACUGGGACUGAGACACGGCCCAGACUCCUACGGGAGGCAGCAGUAGGGAAUCUUCCGCAAUGGACGAAAGUCUGACGGAGCAACGCCGCGUGAGUGAUGAAGGUUUUCGGAUCGUAAAGCUCUGUUGUUAGGGAAGAACAAGUGCAAGAGUAACUGCUUGCACCUUGACGGUACCUAACCAGAAAGCCACGGCUAACUACGUGCCAGCAGCCGCGGUAAUACGUAGGUGGCAAGCGUUGUCCGGAAUUAUUGGGCGUAAAGGGCUCGCAGGCGGUUUCUUAAGUCUGAUGUGAAAGCCCCCGGCUCAACCGGGGAGGGUCAUUGGAAACUGGGAAACUUGAGUGCAGAAGAGGAGAGUGGAAUUCCACGUGUAGCGGUGAAAUGCGUAGAGAUGUGGA